This 495-nucleotide ribosomal RNA is filed under the name uncultured bacterium. RNAcentral describes it as "bacterial SSU rRNA". It matches the Rfam family "Bacterial small subunit ribosomal RNA", at positions 28 to 520 of the family's 1533-position model. The record is from RNAcentral.
GAUGAACGCUAGCGGGAGGCCUAAUACAUGCAAGUCGAACGGUAACAGGUAGCAAUACGCUGACGAGUGGCGCACGGGUGCGUAACGCGUACACAAUCUGCCUUAUACUGGGGCAUAGCCUUUGGAAACGAAGAAUAAUUCCCCAUAAUAUAUAGAAGAGGCAUCUCUUUCAUAUUAAAGCUCAGGCGGUAUAAGAUGAGUGUGCGUCCGAUUAGGUAGUUGGUGAGGUAACGGCUCACCAAGCCAACGAUCGGUAGCUGGUCUGAGAGGAUGAUCAGCCACACGGGCACUGAGACACGGGCCCGACUCCUACGGGAGGCAGCAGUAGGGAAUAUUGGACAAUGGGCGCAAGCCUGAUCCAGCCAUCCCGCGUGAAGGAUGAAGGUCCUCUGGAUUGUAAACUUCUUUUCUUCGGGAAUAAAAACUAGGGGUUCUCCUCAGCUUGAAGGUACCGAAGGAAUAAGCACCGGCUAACUCCGUGCCAGCAGCCGACGG